RNAcentral lists this long non-coding RNA (713 nucleotides) under Mytilus galloprovincialis (Mediterranean mussel). The record is from RNAcentral. Lineage: Eukaryota; Metazoa; Mollusca; Bivalvia; Mytilida; Mytilidae.
GGUCCAUUAAUGAGAGAAGUUGCUGAACUUCUGGAAAUAAAACUCCUAUUGAAUGGUUAGCUCCUUUGGAAGUUUUGGUUAUUUGAGCAAUAGCUCUUAUUUUGAAGUUGUUUUGUAUGGAAAUAUGGAAAUGACUGUUCUAUUGAUACAGUAUUAAAUUGUUAUAAAUUGGGUCACAUUUUUUCAGUUUUUAGCAUAUAUAUAUGGUUAUUUGCUAUUCAGUGUUUAAUUUUUUUAACAUCAGGUUAGAGAUGAUUUACUUCCAGAUUUAAUUGCAUAGGCUGUUGUAGUGACAUUAAAAAAAAGUUCCUUUAUGAUAUAAGUUCCAAAGAUUUAGAGAAGUAUUAUGGAUAUUUUUUUCCAAUGAAUUUUUUUUAGUUUUUGUUCUUAAUGGAUUAAAUAGUAGAAAAUUUGUUCCAAUACCACCAAUAGGAACAGAUUUUAUUCUGUAUACUAUUACAGCAUUGUUUAAAACCAGGUUUCCACAGGAAAUUCUGUUUAUAGGAGGAACAUAUUAUAUAUAAACAAAGUACUGCCAUACAAUUUGGGGUUCAGCUAGCCAUAAAACCAGGUUGAAAACACCAUCUUUUAAAUUGGAAAAAUUAAAAUAACAAUAAUAUUGAAAUCUGAAUAAAAUUUGAAUCAAAAGUCUGUAUUCAAAUGAAAAAAAAAACAAAAGCUCAAACGAAUGGAUAACAACCGUCAUAUUCCUG